CUACUCUUGACAUCCAGAGAACUUUCCAGAGAUGGAUUGGUGCCUUCGGGAACUCUGAGACAGGUGCUGCAUGGCUGUCGUCAGCUCGUGUUAUGAAAUGUUGGGUUAAGUCCCGCAACGAGCGCAACCCUUAUCCUUUGUUGCCAGCGGUCCGGCCGGGAACUCAAAGGAGACUGCCAGUGAUAAACUGGAGGAAGGUGGGGAUGACGUCAAGUCAUCAUGGCCCUUACGAGUAGGGCUACACACGUGCUACAAUGGCGCAUACAAAGAGAAGCGACCUCGCGAGAGCAAGCGGACCUCAUAAAGUGCGUCGUAGUCCGGAUUGGAGUCUGCAACUCGACUCCAUGAAGUCGGAAUCGCUAGUAAUCGUGGAUCAGAAUGCCACGGUGAAUACGUUCCC
Molecule: ribosomal RNA, 400 nt
Filed under: uncultured Enterobacter sp.
Lineage: Bacteria; Pseudomonadati; Pseudomonadota; Gammaproteobacteria; Enterobacterales; Enterobacteriaceae
Description: bacterial SSU rRNA
Rfam family: Bacterial small subunit ribosomal RNA
Source: RNAcentral